CUACGUGCCAGCAGCCGCGGUAAUACGUAGGUCCCGAGCGUUAUCCGGAUUUAUUGGGCGUAAAGCGAGCGCAGGCGGUUAGAUAAGUCUGAAGUUAAAGGCUGUGGCUUAACCAUAGUACGCUUUGGAAACUGUUUAACUUGAGUGCAGAAGGGGAGAGUGGAAUUCCAUGUGUAGCGGUGAAAUGCGUAGAUAUAUGGAGGAACACCGGUGGCGAAAGCGGCUCUCUGGUCUGUAACUGACGCUGAGGCUCGAAAGCGUGGGGAGCAAACAGGAUUAGAUACCCUGGUAGUCCACGCCGUAAACGAUGAGUGCUAGGUGUUAGACCCUUUCCGGGGUUUAGUGCCGCAGCUAACGCAUUAAGCACUCCGCCUGGGGAGUACGACCGCAAGGUUGAAACUCAAAGGAAUUGACGGGGGCCCGCACAAGCGGCGGAGCAUGCGGAUUAAUUCGAUGCAACGCGAAGAACCUUACCAAGGCUUGACAU
This 487-nucleotide ribosomal RNA is filed under the name uncultured bacterium. RNAcentral's name for it is "bacterial SSU rRNA". It matches the Rfam family "Bacterial small subunit ribosomal RNA", at positions 501 to 987 of the family's 1533-position model. The record is from RNAcentral.